GACAGUGACUGAGGAAGGGGGGGAUGUCCUGGAAAAUGGACCAUGCCAGACUGUGGAUGAGCUAAAUACACUAAACACAGAACUGGGAAAUAAGGACAAAAGGACCAAGCUGAUGAACUACCUUCGAUCGCUUGGAGGAACAAAUUCAGGGGCAGCCGUGCGCAAAAUGUUGCGCAAGGUUGCAUCAAAUAACGUAUUGAGUGCCUACAGCUUCAAAGGAAAAAAGGGAAAACUAGCCUUCAAAGAUUUAAUUAUCUGCGAUAUAAUUAUAGGCAAGU
This is a long non-coding RNA of Megalobrama amblycephala (Wuchang bream), 278 nucleotides long. RefSeq lists it as uncharacterized. NCBI's taxonomy places the organism in Eukaryota, Metazoa, Chordata, Actinopteri, Cypriniformes, Xenocyprididae. The record is from RefSeq and is a predicted model, not a curated record. The transcript has 2 exons.